Molecule: ribosomal RNA, 465 nt
Filed under: Vreelandella stevensii
Lineage: Bacteria; Pseudomonadati; Pseudomonadota; Gammaproteobacteria; Oceanospirillales; Halomonadaceae
Description: partial 16S ribosomal RNA
Rfam family: Bacterial small subunit ribosomal RNA
Source: RNAcentral
CCUACGGGCGGCUGCAGUGGGGAAUAUUGGACAAUGGGGGGAACCCUGAUCCAGCCAUGCCGCGUGUGUGAAGAAGGCCCUCGGGUUGUAAAGCACUUUCAGGGAGGAAGAACGCCUGGUGGUUAAUACCCAUCAGGAAAGACAUCACUCACAGAAGAAGCACCGGCUAACUCCGUGCCAGCAGCCGCGGUAAUACGGAGGGUGCGAGCGUUAAUCGGAAUUACUGGGCGUAAAGCGCGCGUAGGUGGCUUGAUAAGCCGGUUGUGAAAGCCCCGGGCUCAACCUGGGAACGGCAUCCGGAACUGUCAAGCUAGAGUGCAGGAGAGGAAGGUAGAAUUCCCGGUGUAGCGGUGAAAUGCGUAGAGAUCGGGAGGAAUACCAGUGGCGAAGGCGGCCUUCUGGACUGACACUGACACUGAGGUGCGAAAGCGUGGGUAGCAAACAGGAUUAGAUACCCCAGUAGUC